Molecule: long non-coding RNA, 1075 nt
Filed under: Sarcophilus harrisii (Tasmanian devil)
Lineage: Eukaryota; Metazoa; Chordata; Mammalia; Dasyuromorphia; Dasyuridae
Description: lncRNA (ENSSHAG00000024815.1)
Source: RNAcentral
GGCAGCUACACCGCGGCCUCCCAGGAAUGGAAGCAGCUAAGGCGGUCUCCAUGGAAACAGAAAAGAAGAGAGGCAAAUCGCUGUCUUCCACUCAGGGACCCGCCCUCAAGAUAAAUUAGCCAGUGAUUCGAAGGGGCUAGCAACAAGAAGGUAUCAUUGAUGGGGACGAGGGAAACCCGGGUCUGUCACUGUCCAAUCGCUUUUGAGGUUGGGCCCGCGGCUCUUUCCAGUAUUAACCAAUAGUGAGGGACGAUGAAAUAACCUCCGCCCGCCACUGGAGGAUGUCAGGAAGGAGGAAUGAAUUUUGAGUGGACGCUUCCGAUUAGUGGGUUUGGAACGCUGGGGCUGAAAGCCCACUUGUGAUUCGCUGCCUCUAGGACGAGGCCCCAGUGGGGAGGGGCUACAGCGGAGUUGGAGAUUGUGUGGAAAAGAGGCGGCCUCGGGGUCGGCUCUUGGGGAGAGGGCUGGCCAGAAUGCCCAGCACUAUACUUGGAGUGGGUGCAGAAGUAUUCAUCUUAGCGCUGCUCUGGGUGUUGAUAUUGCUGCUGUGUGUGCUGUUAUCCCGAGCCUCCAGUCUAGCUAGGUAAGAUGUUCUUUCCAGCUGGGAGUCCUAGGUAAAAGCAAUUAGAGGUGAAAUCGCUGACACUCAUUAAACAUUUAGAAUUCAGGCGAUCAUUUUUGUAAUUACUGGCAGUUUGAAUGAGUUGCAUUUUAGUCUAUCAUAAACACUAACUAUGUUAUUUAUAGUCUAAAGGAAAGAUUUAUUUUUUUAGUUUUUCACUGUGAAGUGGGAAAUUAUGCCAGAAAUAUAGAGAAAUAAUCUUUCUUUGCUUUUCGCAAAAAAAAGUAUUUUCAAUUGUAUUUGAUUAAUUCUUUCUCUGAAACUCUAGGUCUAGGCCCAGAAAAAGUGAAAAAGUAAUGGAUACCUUAAACCAGCAAUGAUUGUGAAGUUAAGGCCAUAUAUUAACUUCUGAGAAAUAGUAAUUAAAUGUGCUAGCCUACAGAUAUUCUGCCUGUCCUACCAGAAUGAGGAAAAAGGUUAUACAAAAAAGCCUGUUUUGACUUGCAUUGUUAU